Molecule: microRNA precursor, 111 nt
Filed under: Daucus carota subsp. sativus
Lineage: Eukaryota; Viridiplantae; Streptophyta; Magnoliopsida; Apiales; Apiaceae
Description: sRNA DCAR_mi00229
Source: RNAcentral
AAUAAUAUAUUCAGAUUUUAUGAAAUUUAUUUAUUAUUUAUUUGAUAUAAAUUAAACAAAAUAAUUGUAAAAUUAAAAUAAAUAGUAAAUAAAUUUCUCAAAAUCUGAUUA